GACUCAACUCACUCACACUCAAUGUCUUUUCACUAGCCACUUUUGACUACACUCACCUACUCCCUCCCACUACUCCCACUACACCCACCUACACCCACUCUUUCCACCCACUUUACACUCACUCUUUCCACCCACAAAGCCAUAUCCUAUGCUCACUCUUGUCCGCAAAGCCAUAUCCUAUGCUCAAAUCAAUUUAUUCCUACCUUAUUUCACAAAAUCUUUCACAAUCUCUUUCUCGCAAGGAAGAAAUUCAAUGCACAUCUCUAUCUCCAGAAGUUCAACAACAUCAGAUUCACUAACCAUUCGUUCCUACAUAGAACACUAUAAGGCUUCGUGACCAGGGGGAUUAGCGCUGCUUUCCCAAGACAGGUUUAUAUGUGAUUAUGAUCUUCAGGCUUUGCCUAACCAGGUUGGCUGGCUGGUGCUGACGGGACGGAGCUGAGGCUAGAGUUAAAAUUCAUAUGUUAGACUUCCGCUGUAGCAAUUACUCAUAUCAGUCUUUUGUUUUCCCAACUUAAGAUCUUCAUGUUAAAUUUCAAAUGAUAUACCUGACCGAGCUUAGACUCUUCACUACUAAAUUUAUGCCAAUGAAUGUCGGUUGUCAGAAGCAUGAAACAAAACUUGUGAUCCAAAGGGGCAUAGCCCGACUUUCUAUCCUA
Molecule: long non-coding RNA, 659 nt
Organism: Salvia miltiorrhiza (redroot sage)
Lineage: Eukaryota; Viridiplantae; Streptophyta; Magnoliopsida; Lamiales; Lamiaceae
Exons: 3
Source: RefSeq, a predicted model, not a curated record